GGCGGCCUUAUGGGCUUUGAGGAGAAGAACCCAGGUAAGCUGCUUAGCGUUCUUGUUACGGGACUUGUCUCGGGGACGAACCGGCGAGUCGCCGAUGAGGAAAUCUUCCUCGGAUGGACCCUCAAGCUCGACCAUUGACCAGUUGGGGUUCUCCAUUUUGACCACCACGGGUGUGCCUCUGUGGCCCUCCUUAGCCCACCAAUCGAACGACGGUGCCAUUGCCGUUAAAUUUGGUAUUUUGGGUCUGAUCUAUAAAAAUAAAC
RNAcentral lists this unclassified non-coding RNA (263 nucleotides) under Hevea brasiliensis (rubber tree). Lineage: Eukaryota; Viridiplantae; Streptophyta; Magnoliopsida; Malpighiales; Euphorbiaceae. The record is from RNAcentral.